Molecule: long non-coding RNA, 1096 nt
Organism: Calidris pugnax (ruff)
Lineage: Eukaryota; Metazoa; Chordata; Aves; Charadriiformes; Scolopacidae
Exons: 2
Source: RefSeq, a predicted model, not a curated record
UAAUGCCGGUUAGGUUUCUGCUUUUCUCCCAGACGUGUAAAAUAAAACUGUUCUUGCUUAGUUUCACUUUCGGCUUUCCCACUUCUCUUACCGGGUGGCAAAUGUUACCAGCAAAGGGCACAUCUGGAACAGCGUAUUGGCUCCCAUGGACCACUUCAUGUUCAUCCCUGAACAUAGACUCCUGCUUUUUCAGGGAGCUGCUCUAGCCUUUACAUCCCCCAACGUGUUUUUUUUUUUCGUUUUGUUUUUUUUUUUUCCAAAUCACCAGCUUCUCCUUUAAGUGGUAAGCUAAUGAUAUUUAACCCAGCGUGAAGUUUGCACGCCCGCAUAUAAGUAAAUUACACGUUUCAAUUCUGAACGUAAGUUGACUAUUCUCACACAGGUGAGUGACUCCACUGGUGUUUUAUUAAGGCCACUCCACGUGCGUGUAUGUCUGCAGCUCCACAGAGAGGUGUUCACAGGACCACAGCCUGUACAAACAGCCUUAUUCUUUCAUCUUAUUAUUCAAGGUCCUUAAAAGCCUGAAAAGUUUUUACUUCUGUUAAAGUAACAUCAAAGAGGAAAGUUGUUACAAAGCAGAUACUGACUUUCCUUAACUGCCUGAAUAUUUGUUUGCAUUUCGUGGUGUGUUUAUGAGGAUCUAAAUGGGAAAAGCACUGCUGUAGUGCCUACAGUAAGGCACUGGUUGGUAUAAAGACAAAAUACACUUUUACUGCAGUUCGUUCUUGAAUCUUUGGAAGAAUGGCUACCUUACAAUACGAUGACUUUUUUUUUUCCUUUUUACCUUGCUGCUCACUAGAUAACCAGAACAGUAAGUCUACCAGCCUGUGGCUACGGAUACAGUUACUAUAGUAACAUUUAUAAACACUAAUUUCACUACACAUGCAGAACUACUGCCUGCUACUGCAGAGGAGCAGCUUGGAAAGAAAUCACUCUUCAACUACAAAUAGGUCUAGAGGUGGGAGUGUUCCCAAGUCCUGAAGACAGGCUCUGCCCCUGGCAUGCUCCUGUGACUCACCAGGUUCAUCUUUAUCUCUUCCCACACCUUUCCUAACAAGACUUUCUUGAAGCUGCAUCAUUGCUUCUGGGGAUACAG